Molecule: transfer RNA, 73 nt
Filed under: Orbicella faveolata
Lineage: Eukaryota; Metazoa; Cnidaria; Anthozoa; Scleractinia; Merulinidae
Description: tRNA-Ile
Rfam family: tRNA
About the family: Transfer RNA (tRNA) molecules are approximately 80 nucleotides in length. Their secondary structure includes four short double-helical elements and three loops (D, anti-codon, and T loops).
Source: RNAcentral
GGUCCGUUAGCUCAGUCGGCAGAGCGUGGUGCUGAUAACGCCAAGAUCCUAAGUUCGACUCUCACACGGGCCA